CGAACGCUGGCGGCGUGCCUAAUACAUGCAAGUCGAGCGAAGUUUUUCUGGUGCUUGCACUAGAAAAACUUAGCGGCGAACGGGUGAGUAACACGUAAAGAACCUGCCUCAUAGACUGGGACAACUAUUGGAAACGAUAGCUAAUACCGGAUAACAGCAUUAACUGCAUGGUUGAUGUUUGAAAGUUGGUUUUGCUAACACUAUGAGAUGGCUUUGCGGUGCAUUAGCUAGUUGGUGGGGUAAAGGCCUACCAAGGCGACGAUGCAUAGCCGACCUGAGAGGGUGAUCGGCCACACUGGGACUGAGACACGGCCCAGACUCCUACGGGAGGCAGCAGUAGGGAAUCUUCCGCAAUGGGCGAAAGCCUGACGGAGCAACGCCGCGUGAGUGAAGAAGGAUUUCGGUUCGUAAAGCUCUGUUGUUAGGGAAGAAUGAUUAUGUAGUAACUAUACAUAGUAGAGACGGUACCUAACCAGAAAGCCACGGCUAACUACGUGCCAGCAGCCGCGGUAAU
Molecule: ribosomal RNA, 514 nt
Filed under: uncultured bacterium
Lineage: Bacteria
Description: bacterial SSU rRNA
Rfam family: Bacterial small subunit ribosomal RNA
Source: RNAcentral